This 385-nucleotide unclassified non-coding RNA is filed under the name uncultured Planctomycetota bacterium. RNAcentral describes it as "uncultured planctomycete contains 16S-23S intergenic spacer region". The record is from RNAcentral. Lineage: Bacteria; Pseudomonadati; Planctomycetota.
UCCGUGUUAACCACGGCAGUCCCGCUAGAGUCCCCGGCAUGACCCGCUGGCAACUAGCGGCAAGGGUUUCGCUCGUUAAGGGACUUAACCCGACAUCUCACGACACGAGCUGACGACAGCCAUGCAGCACCUGUGCUAGUUCCUGCCUUACGGCCGUCACUCUGCUUUCACAGAGCUAAUCCUAGCAUGUCAAACCCAGGUAAGGUUCUGCGCGUUGCUUCGAAUUGAACCACAUGCUCCACCGCUUGUGUGAGCCCCCGUCAAUUCCUUUGAGUUUUAGCCUUGCGACCAUACUCCCCAGGCGGGGCACUUAACACAUUUGCUCCGGCAGGGAAGGCAUCGGAACCUCCCCUACUUAGUGCCCAUCGUUUAGGGCUAGGACUAC